CACGUAGGGGGCAAGCGUUGUCCGGAUUUAUUGGGCGUAAAGAGCUCGUAGGCGGCUCAGUAAGUCAGGUGUGAAACCUCCAGGCUCAACCUGGAGACGCCACCUGAUACUGCUGUGGCUAGAGUCCGGUAGGGGAGCGUGGAAUUCCUGGUGUAGCGGUGAAAUGCGUAGAUAUCAGGAGGAACACCAGUGGCGAAGGCGGCUUCCUGGACACUAACUGACGCUGAGACGCGAAAGCGUGGGGAGCAAACAGG
This 254-nucleotide ribosomal RNA is filed under the name uncultured bacterium. RNAcentral describes it as "partial 16S ribosomal RNA". It matches the Rfam family "Bacterial small subunit ribosomal RNA", at positions 524 to 776 of the family's 1533-position model. The record is from RNAcentral.